CAGCAGCCGCGGUAAUACGUAGGUGGCAAGCGUUGUCCGGAAUCAUUGGGCGUAAAGCGCGCGUAGGUGGCUUGUCAGGUCUGAUGUGAAAACCUGGGGCUCAACUCCAGGCCUGCAUCGGAAACCGGCUUGCUA
This 135-nucleotide ribosomal RNA is filed under the name uncultured bacterium. RNAcentral's name for it is "partial 16S ribosomal RNA". It matches the Rfam family "Bacterial small subunit ribosomal RNA", at positions 509 to 643 of the family's 1533-position model. The record is from RNAcentral.